RNAcentral lists this ribosomal RNA (252 nucleotides) under uncultured bacterium. RNAcentral describes it as "partial 16S ribosomal RNA". It matches the Rfam family "Bacterial small subunit ribosomal RNA", at positions 524 to 775 of the family's 1533-position model. The record is from RNAcentral.
UACGAAGGGGGCUAGCGUUGCUCGGAAUCACUGGGCGUAAAGCGCACGUAGGCGGACUCUUAAGUCGGUGGUGAAAUCCUGGAGCUCAACUCCAGAACUGCCUUCGAUACUGAGAGUCUCGAGUCCGAGAGAGGUGAGUGGAACUGCGAGUGUAGAGGUGAAAUUCGUAGAUAUUCGCAAGAACACCAGUGGCGAAGGCGGCUCACUGGCUCGGUACUGACGCUGAGGUGCGAAAGCGUGGGGAGCAAACAG